AGUGAACGCUGGCGGUAGGCCUAACACAUGCAAGUCGAACGGCAGCACAGGAGAGCUUGCUCUGGGUGGCGAGUGGCGGACGGGUGAGGAAUACAUCGGAAUCUACUCUGUCGUGGGGGAUAACGUAGGGAAACUUACGCUAAUACCGCAUACGACCUACGGGUGAAAGCAGGGGACCUUCGGGCCUUGCGCGAUUGAAUGAGCCGAUGUCGGAUUAGCUAGUUGGCGGGGUAAAGGCCCACCAAGGCGACGAUCCGUAGCUGGUCUGAGAGGAUGAGCAGCCACACUGGAACUGAGACACGGUCCAGACUCCUACGGGAGGCAGCAGUGGGGAAUAUUGGACAAUAGGCGCAAGCCUGUUCCAGCCAUACCGCGUGGGUGAAGAAGGCCUUCGGGUUGUAAAGCCCUUUUGUUGGGAAAGAAAUCCAGCUGGCUAAUACCCGGUUGGGAUGACGGUACCCAAAGAAUAAGCACCGGCUAACUUCGUGCCAGCCGCCGCAGUAA
Molecule: ribosomal RNA, 504 nt
Filed under: uncultured bacterium
Lineage: Bacteria
Description: partial 16S ribosomal RNA
Rfam family: Bacterial small subunit ribosomal RNA
Source: RNAcentral